GUGUCAGCCGCCGCGGUAAUACAGAGGGGGCGAGCGUUGUUCGGAAUUACUGGGCGUAAAGGGCGCGUAGGCGGCCUGUUAAGUCGAACGUGAAAUCCCCGGGCUUAACCCGGGAACUGCGUCCGAGACUGAUAGGCUCGAAUCCGGGAGAGGGAUGUGGAAUUCCAGGUGUAGCGGUGAAAUGCGUAGAUAUCUGGAGGAACACCGGUGGCGAAGGCGGCAUCCUGGACCGGUAUUGACGCUGAGGCGCGAAAGCCAGGGGAGCAAACGGGAUUAGAUACCCUAGUAGUCC
Molecule: ribosomal RNA, 292 nt
Filed under: uncultured bacterium
Lineage: Bacteria
Description: partial 16S ribosomal RNA
Rfam family: Bacterial small subunit ribosomal RNA
Source: RNAcentral